Molecule: long non-coding RNA, 1263 nt
Filed under: Salmo salar (Atlantic salmon)
Lineage: Eukaryota; Metazoa; Chordata; Actinopteri; Salmoniformes; Salmonidae
Description: lncRNA (ENSSSAG00000119520.1)
Source: RNAcentral
CUUAUGAUGCGCAUGCACGUGACUUUGUUGUUUUUUUAUUUUUCUUCUGGGAUGAAUACCUAUUGCCCGGUUGUAAAAUUAUUGCAAUUUUACGUUAAAAAAUACCCUAAAGGAUUGAUUGUAAACAUCGUUUGAUGUGUUUCUACAAAUGGUAAUGGAACUUUGAACAUUUCGUCUAUGGAUUUGCGUCCACACCACAUGGCAUUGUAAAGUGUUCUGGAUGGGUCAACAAAACAGACGUAUUUGGACACAAAUGACGGACUUUGCAGAACAAAUGAACAUUUCUUGUGGAAGUGGGUGCCCAUCUGAAUGCAUUCCGCCGAAGAUCAGCAAAGGAGUGUCAUCUGAUGAAGAUUGUCAAAGGUUAGUGCUUCAUUUUAGCUGUAUAUCUGGUUUUUUCGAUGGCUAUCCGUGCUUGGAAAAUGGCUUUUUUUUUUUUUUUGCUAAGGUGCUAUGCUAAAAUAAUCUAAUGUUUUGCUUUCACCGUAAAGCCUUUUUGAAAUCGGACAAUGUGAUUGGAUUAACGAGUAGAGUAUCUUUAAAAUGCCGUAUAAUACUUGAAUUUUAAUUUUGAGAUAUAUAUUUUUUUUUGAAUUUUGAGCCGUGCUAUCUCACUGGUUGUUGUCCAACCAAUCCCGUUAACGGGAUUUUAUCCUCUAAAGGUUAACCUCUCUCUUUUUCCAUGAAUUUUAAUAUUUUGCUCAUUUAGGGUCACAAACCUAACUUCAAAAUGUGGACAUAUUGAUGUGUUGUGGGAUGUCUGUGUAGAUUUUGUAUGCAAACAUAGUGUUGUGGGUCAUUUUGACCCGGUGGAUUUCAUGUGUAUAGAUAUUUGCACAGGUCCAAAAUAAACAAGUGUCUUUGAUGUAUUUCGUUUUGACUGGUUCUGAUUGCACUUUUGUAAUUAUGUUUGGGUGAAAAUGAGCUUUCCCAAGCUUUUCUUUCUCAGUGCGAGAGCAGCAGAUCUCUAACAUAGACACUCAAAAAUGAGCUCCAAAAGAUUUUAAGGCAAUGAAUCCAUAUCACAAAUUCUGGACUGUGACAGUGAAAUAGAAGAAGAGAUUUCAGAGACAGAGGACAUUUCAGAGACAGACGACAUUUCAGAGACAGAGGACAUUUCAGAGACAGAGGACAAUGCUGUUGAUGAUCCAGAUUGUGAAGCUAAAGCUGGGCCAUCUAAACCCGCUUCCAAUCAACCAGCAAUGGAUCCAGUGGAUACAGGGGAUGUGAAGAAAUGGAAAAGCUGCCCCCCCACCUCUCGAC